RNAcentral lists this small RNA (29 nucleotides) under Bombyx mori (domestic silkworm). Its description in RNAcentral is "ovarian small RNA-10925". The record is from RNAcentral. Lineage: Eukaryota; Metazoa; Arthropoda; Insecta; Lepidoptera; Bombycidae.
ACAACCAACAAAAACGCCAAGUGAGCCUC